Molecule: non-coding RNA, 89 nt
Organism: Polyporus arcularius HHB13444
Lineage: Eukaryota; Fungi; Basidiomycota; Agaricomycetes; Polyporales; Polyporaceae
Source: the annotation of a GenBank genome assembly
GACACUAUGGCCGAGUGGUUAAGGCGACAGAUUCGAACGUACUUAUCUGUUUCGAUUUUCGAGCGCAGGUUCAAAUCCUGCUGGUGUCG